GACGUAGGGCGCGAGCGUUGUCCGGAUUUAUUGGGCGUAAAGAGCUCGUAGGCGGCUUGUCGCGUCGUCCGUGAAAACCCACAGCUCAACUGUGGGCUUGCGGUCGAUACGGGCAGGCUAGAGUUCGGUAGGGGAGACUGGAAUUCCUGGUGUAGCGGUGAAAUGCGCAGAUAUCGGGAAGAACACCCGUGGCUAAGGCGGCUCUCUAGUACGGUACUGACGCUGAGACGCGAAAGCGUGGGGAGCAAACAGG
This 253-nucleotide ribosomal RNA is filed under the name uncultured bacterium. RNAcentral's name for it is "partial 16S ribosomal RNA". It matches the Rfam family "Bacterial small subunit ribosomal RNA", at positions 524 to 776 of the family's 1533-position model. The record is from RNAcentral.